This is a long non-coding RNA of Solanum tuberosum (potato), 247 nucleotides long. RefSeq lists it as uncharacterized. The transcript is spliced from 3 exons. NCBI's taxonomy places the organism in Eukaryota, Viridiplantae, Streptophyta, Magnoliopsida, Solanales, Solanaceae. The record is from RefSeq and is a predicted model, not a curated record.
ACCAAACAACCCCUGAAGUGUUCCGUUCAGAUUGUUCCUGUUCCCAGUUAAAACUUGACCCUGCCCCAAAACGCCUCUGGUUGAGCGGUCAAAGUUCGAACCGAAACCAAGAACGGAUCCUAAAAUCCGACUGAUUUAGGUCCGCCAAUUUCAAACGGCGCCGGUCUUCUUCUUCCGGCGAAUCGACAGAGACAGCACCUUCCUCCACCAUCUUCGACAAAAUCGAGUAGUAGUGAAGUUGAAAGAA